Molecule: long non-coding RNA, 955 nt
Filed under: Danio rerio (zebrafish)
Lineage: Eukaryota; Metazoa; Chordata; Actinopteri; Cypriniformes; Danionidae
Description: lncRNA si:ch73-248h21.1 (ENSDARG00000104515.2)
Source: RNAcentral
GCGCUUUUAAAUUCGAUUUGGUACAGUUUGUUUUGGAGCCUUUCUUUAUUGAGCGUAUUUCGACACAGUAUGUUUUUGACCCUGCUCGUAUUAAACCUUUUAUCGUUGCACAUUUAUUACGUUCCAGGUCUUUAAAUGCCAGUGUUCUGUAGCAGAUAGGAAAAGAGCAUUGUGACCUCUACCGGAGCUAAUCGGGGAUCAUCAUCGGCCCAUUUGUCAGGAUAAGCACAUUGUGGAGGGUGAUUUCCGGCUCCUUUUUUUUUUUUUUUUUUGGAACAGGGAGGGCAUCUUCACAGAGUCUUGCUUAUCCCUGGAGAGUCCGAGGGCAGAAACUUCUCACUGCUCUUAUUCUCAUUGCUCCCAGAACUGCUGAUAGCUAAGCGGCAGCAUCUUUUGCAGGAAAGCCUGGAGCGAUGCUUAGAAUGGAGGAAGAAAAAAGAAAAUAAACUGCCGGUGGUAUGAAAUUGCCAAAGGCAAACAGGAUGUGGAACGCGACUGGGAGGAGGCUCUUCAGAGGAGGCCGGAAAUUUGACGACUGCUGGGCGGCUCAGACAAGACAGGAUGCUCAAUGUCCAGCAUAUGCUCAGAGAUUUGGUUAAUAAAUAAUUCAAUUAACCGAGACCCAUCUGUUCCUGAUGCACUACCGGAGAUGCAAAGAUACCGAGCCCGACCAUCAGCAGACAGCUGUGUCUUUGGAUCCCGAACUAUUCCCUCGUUUUUCCCUCUUUUUUAUACUCAACUAUUUUAGCGGCGCAGUUGAAAUCUCGUCGAGGGGACACAGAGGCCACAGUAAUAUGUGACAACCGGAAAUAAAACGUUCCAUGAAUUAUUCAUUCAUAACCUUUAGAUGACCAAAUUAGAUUCCUCUCUUAACACCGCUCUAUGUUGCUGCCGCUCCUCUUUGUGUGUCCAGGGUUAAUUUGCACAUUAAUGAAUUAAAGCUAAUGAACAGAGC